Molecule: non-coding RNA, 500 nt
Organism: Salvelinus sp. IW2-2015
Lineage: Eukaryota; Metazoa; Chordata; Actinopteri; Salmoniformes; Salmonidae
Source: RefSeq, a predicted model, not a curated record
CAGAUGGCUGAGCUCGGAGAGUGUUGUCUGCAGGAGGCGGAGUUGACAGGAGAGCUUCCUGGUGAUUUCCCCCUGGAGGCUGGUGAGAGACGCCCCAACGUACGCCGGCGGGUCGGAUCCUACCGCCACGGACCCAAGACUAUUAUAAAGACAGAGGAGGAAGUGUGUCAGAGGAAGCAGAAGAAGACGCUGUUCAGCGGUGCCCUGAGACGCCGUGUAGACUCUGAUCAGCACCCAACGCACAGCAAGAGGACUGUACACCGAGGAUGUCACACGGGUAAUAACAUACCACCUUUCAGUGGCACUACUGUGAUCUAACCUUUCACUGUGACUGCACUGGUUAAAAUACACACAGGUAACUUCCCCCCUUAUCACUGUGACUUCACUGGUUAAAAUACACACAGGUAACUUCCCCCUCAUCACGGUGACUGCACUGGUUAAAAUACACACAGGUAACUUCCCCCUCAUCACUGUGACUUCACUGGUUAAAAUACACACAG